This 2187-nucleotide long non-coding RNA is filed under the name Homo sapiens (human). RNAcentral's name for it is "HSALNT0351714". The record is from RNAcentral. Lineage: Eukaryota; Metazoa; Chordata; Mammalia; Primates; Hominidae.
CCCUCCCACAUUGUGGGAGAUUUGUUCUUUCCCCUUUUGCAAUAAAUCUUGCUGCUGCUCACUUUUUAGGUCCACACUACCUUUAUGAGCUGUAACACUCAUGGUGAAGGUUUGCAGCUUCACUCCUGAAGCCAGCCAGACCAGGAACCCACCAUGAGAAACAAACAACUCUGGAGCCGCCAUAAGACUCACUGUGGCUUUAAGAGCUAUAAGACUCACUGUGAAGGUCUGCGGCUUCACCCCUGAAGUCAGCCAGACCACGAACCCACCGGGAGGAACAAACAACUCCGGACGCACCACCUUUAAGAGCUGUAACGCUCACUGCAAAGGUCUGCGGCUUCACUCAUGAAGUCGUGCAUAGACCACGAACCCAGUAGAAGGAAGAAACUCCUGACACAUCUGAACAUCUGAAGGAACAAACUCUGGACACACCGUCUUUAAGAAGUGUAACACUGCGAGGGUCCGCGGCUUCAUUCUUGAAGUCAGCGGCACCAGGAACCCAUUGGAGGGAACCAAUUCCGGACACACAGCCUCGUGGAAUGGUUCUGCACAGUGUGUGUGUGUUUCCCGUCAACCCUGUGCACACUAUUAAAAGAACACAAGCGCUAAGCCUCCCUCUCAGACCUACUGAUGCAAGACAUUGUGAUUUUGACCUUGUUGGAUGCUGCACCUAAAGGUGGAUGGAAGAGGAAGAGUCUUGGGGGCUACCAUCCUGGCUGGAGAAGCUGGCACGAGGCUCCCUCUUGUGGAUGCAGCAAGUCUGAGGGCCAAGGGAAGAGAAGAGUGACAUAGAAUCUCCUUUCCUUGAGAUCUUAGAAUCACGCCUGCCUCCUUACCUCCAUCCAGGACUGUUAAAAAUCUCCCAAGGCAGAGACUUUUAGGCCUACAUGUACUUAGCCUCCUCUUCCCACCUCCUGUUCAUCUCUGUUUCCAAUGUUCCACUGCCAUCACUGCCAGGAAGUUCUGCAGAGAAGAAUGAAGAAGAACCGUAUGAUCCUAAACAUGUUCUUUGAAGAUAUUAUCAACCCACCAUUGGCCUUAUUUACUGGAAUGUUUUUAUAACCUUUAUUUGACACCUCUUCCCAUCAUUUAAAAUAAAUCUGGUGCUUCCCUGAAUAAUCUCUUGAGAUUUGUACAUGUCUCCCAGCAUCAUAUUUGUCCUUUUAACAAGCACACUCCUUCCACUGCUCAUGGCCAACUCAGGUUCACUACAAUCAGGGAAUCUAUGUCUUGCAACAAUCAGGUCUAUAUCAAACUUGAAUUUAUUUUCUUUUGUUUCUGAGAACUGUAAUUCCACUCCAAGGCCUAUACUGUACCCAACAGAGCUGCAUAUAUGUUUAACGAAAACAUGUCUUAGAAUAUUCACAAUACUUCUACUACUUAUGCCCUCAAACUGCAAACUACCCAAAUACCGGAGAAUAGAAUGGAUGAAUGAAUUGUAGUAAUAUUUAUUGAAUGCAAUAUAAUAAUGAUAAUGAAUUAACUGGAACUAUAUCCAAGAAGGAUGAAUCUCACAGACAUUAUGUUGGCUGAAAUGAGCCAAUCACAGAAGUGUACAUACUCUAUAACUGCUACAGAAAGUUCAAAGAACAGGCAAAACCAAUGCACAAUGUUAGAAGCUGGGAUUGCAUUUAUCCUGGGGUAGGGGAUGGGGUAUUGGCUGGAAGUAGGGGUGAGGAGGCCCUCUGCUGUUUUUGUUGUAUUCUCUUUAUCUGGGUGCUGGUUUUGAGGGUGUGUUCACUUUGUGAAAAUCCACUGAGCUGUAAACUUAUGUACAUUUCUAUAUGUGUGUUUUUAUAAAACUUACAGAAAACAAAGAAGAAAUAUAUUGCCGUAUAUUGAUUGGACUCUAUUCUGGGCUAUCUUGGAAACUGCAGCUUGAAGACAGCUAGGCCUCAGCAUAUGCCCUGACCUCCUGCAAUCUAAGCUCUGGAUCCUGGUCAACUUUGGGAGAAUAAUCAAGCCAAUUUUCAGAGAAGCAGUUUCUAUGUCUUUCAGGUCCUUGUGUCCUAAGGGAUUAGGAGCAUUAGGGACCUGGUCUCAGUGUGAUCCUGAGAGCUCAUCCAUUCUCUGGUCAUCCUUCAAGGAAAUGCCAGGCUCCUGAAUUCAUCUGCACAAACAGAGCUGGCCAGGCUACCUGCUGCCCACCAUCCCAUUGUCUUUCCUGCAUUGUUCUGGGACUCUGGC